GUCUUCGUAGUAUAUAGAUUACCUUGGUCUUGUAAACCAAAAAAGGAGAACAUGUGCCCUCCCUAAGACU
This 70-nucleotide transfer RNA is filed under the name Panthera leo atrox (American cave lion). Its description in RNAcentral is "tRNA-Thr". The record is from RNAcentral. RNAcentral also lists the same sequence under 1 other name. Lineage: Eukaryota; Metazoa; Chordata; Mammalia; Carnivora; Felidae.